AACGAACGCUGGCGGCAUGCCUAACACAUGCAAGUCGAACGAGACCUUCGGGUAUAGUGGCGCACGGGUGCGUAACGCGUGGGAACCUGCCCUUGGGUUCGGAAUAACUCCCCGAAAGGGGUGCUAAUACCGGAUAAUGUCUUAGGACCAAAGAUUUAUCGCCUUUGGAUGGGCCCGCGUUGGAUUAGCUGGUUGGUAGGGUAAAAGCCUACCAAGGCGACGAUCCAUAGCUGGUCUGAGAGGAUGAUCAGCCACACCGGGACUGAGACACGGCCCAGACUCCUACGGGAGGCAGCAGUGGGGAAUAUUGGACAAUGGGCGGUAGCCUGAUCCAGCAAUGCCGCGUGAGUGAUGAAGGCCUUAGGGUUGUAAAGCUCUUUUACCCGGGAUGAUAAUGACAGUACCGGGAGAAUAAGCUCCGGCUAACUCCGUG
This 433-nucleotide ribosomal RNA is filed under the name uncultured bacterium. RNAcentral's name for it is "partial 16S ribosomal RNA". It matches the Rfam family "Bacterial small subunit ribosomal RNA", at positions 29 to 507 of the family's 1533-position model. The record is from RNAcentral.